AGCCAGGCAUUAUUUCCUGGAGGAUGGACUGGUUUGAACUGUGGUGUUGGAGGAAAAUUCUGAGAGUGUCUUAGACCGGGAUAUACUCCAAGAAAUAAAGUCCAACUGCUUACUGGAGAGAAGGAUAUUAGAGGCAAAGAUGAAGUACUUGGGCUAUUGGGGUCUGCCUGUACUGCUGGUUUUCUCAGUGACUCAGGCUGCAUCUACAUUAAGGUAGAAAGAAUGCAGCCUGGCACCACUUUCACUGCUCAAUGUUAUGGAACUACAGGAACUUGUAGUUUGACAAGCUCUUGAGCGCUUUCUGCUCGAGCAGGCUGAUACGGGCCAAACUCCCAGGGUUCUGCGACAUUGUACCAAGUCAAUGAAAGUGGUGUCAUUCUGGGUUGUUAUGCGUUUUUUUGGGCUGUCUGGCCAUGUUCCAGAAGCAUUCUCUCCUGACAUUUCACCCAAUCUAUGACAGGCAUCCUCAGAGGUUGUGAGGUAUGUUGGAAAACUAGGCAAGUGUGGUUUAUAUAUCUGUGUAAGGUCCAGGGUGGGAAAAAGAGCUCUUGUCUGUUGGAGGCAGGUGUGGAUACUGUCAUUAAUCACCUUGAUUAGCAUUUGAUGGCCCUGUGGCUUCUUCCUGCCUGGGAGAAUCCUUUGUUUGGAGUUGUUAGCUGGCCCUGGUUAAUUCAUGUCUGGAAUUCCUUUGGUUUCACAGUGUUGUUCUUUAUUUACUGUUCUGAUUUUUGUUUUGUUUUUUAAUACUGAGAGACAGAUUGUGUUCAUUUUCAUGGUUCCCUCCAUUCUGUUGAAGUUGUUCACAUGCUUGAGGAUUUCAAUGGCUUCUCUGUGUAGCCUGACAUGGUGGUUGUGAGAGUGGUCCAGCAUUUCUGUGUUCUCAGAUAUUAUGCUGUGUCCCCGUUGGUUCACCAAGUGCUCUGCUCUGGCUGAUUUCUCUGGUUGAGUGAGUCUGCAGUGCCUUUCAUGUUCCUUGAUUUGAGCUUGGGUAAAGCUGCGUUUGUAGACUUGUCCACAGCUGCAUGGUAUUACAGUAGAUUGCAUGCAGAGAUGGGCUUGCUAGUAGAAGGAACCCCACCUCCGUGGGUCUGGGUCCGCCUCUUGGGACGCCUCCUGCGCUUUGCUGGCGCUUCUCGCUCUCGGGCUCCGGGCGCCCUGGAGCUGCUAAGGUGCCGACUGAGCAGGCAGAAUAACUUGAAGAAAGAAAUGCAAAAAAGAGGGAACAGCAAAGGAAUGAACGUGAACAAAGAACCCUUUUCUGAAACCCAGGUGUGUCCCUUAAAAUGGAAAAGCAAGCAAGAACAAUUCUUCGCUGGGUGA
Molecule: long non-coding RNA, 1320 nt
Filed under: Anolis carolinensis (green anole)
Lineage: Eukaryota; Metazoa; Chordata; Lepidosauria; Squamata; Anolidae
Description: lncRNA (ENSACAG00000041915.1)
Source: RNAcentral